Molecule: long non-coding RNA, 1802 nt
Filed under: Homo sapiens (human)
Lineage: Eukaryota; Metazoa; Chordata; Mammalia; Primates; Hominidae
Description: HSALNT0368944
Source: RNAcentral
CAGCCUGGGGGACAGAGCGAGACUCCGUCUCAAAAAAAAAAAAAGUUAUUGUUUUUAUAUUGUUAUUGUCCCUGGGAAUCUUUGCUAUCGGUGUACUGUGUACUUCCUGCCUACCUCUGAGUUUGUAAAGUAGGUAAAAGAGCAGAUGUGAUUGCUAAGAAUAUAGCAUUGACCUCUAUGUAAAAUUUAUAGGUUCUCACACAGAGUGCUGAGGCUUUUGAUCAGCAUCUUUGAAAGUAUUGCUUGUAUACAUUUCAAGUAAAAGAUCAUUCUAAUUAUUUCAUAGUCAUACUUUACAUGAAAGAGCUUUGUAAAUAAUUGGAAAAUCUUUAACAAGCUUUGAUUAAUAAUGCUGGCUUUAAUUUUAACUUCAUAUUAUUGUUUUCCAAAUGAUUUCCAUAAUAGAGACCAUGGUGGAUCUAAGCAUGAGAUUUUAAGUUCCUGCCUUUCAAAGGUGUGGCUAAAAACAAGGAGGAUAGAAAACACUGUGUGCUGUCAUGCCAAGCUCUCUGUGUAGGGACUUUAUCUUCACCAUUGCAUUUCAUCCUCAAAACAGCCCUGCAAGGUAAGUAUCUGUAUUUUAUAGAUGGGAAAAACUAAGAUUCAGAAAGUUUACAUAACUACAAAUCUGGUAAGAACUAGAGCCGAGAUCCAUUUCCUGCUCUGUCUUUUCUCACAGUUGUUGCUACAAGGCCACUGAGCUGACUCACCACCCCGGGAGUCAGUGAAGGCUUCCCCGAGGAAGCAGUGUUUGAGCUGAGCCUUGAAACAGAAGUAAGAAGACUCCAGGAGAAGGCUGCAGUAGAGGCUAGAGCUAUUUUUCCUGGCAACAGACCCAGAGAGAAGCUCAACACUUGGAGUAUGAAAGGAGAGUUGGAAAGAAAUCAACUGUGGAAUAACUGCUUCUGAAGACUGAAGUCCAAGAUCAAGGUGCCAGCAGAAUUGGUGUCUGCCUAUGGACCACUGGAAGGCCCGGCCAGGGGUGUGGUCAUCAGGACUUCCCAAAAGCACAUCUCCUUCCUCUGUGGCUUGACUGUGUGCCUCUCCUCUCGAGCUGCAACUGUACCAUGAGUCUCCCUUCCAGAUCAAAAGGAAGAUCCCGACCGCAGUCCUUUGGAAUAAGAUUUGCUAGUAUUCAAUGUUCUUUCUUGUGUCUCAACUCAUAUCCAUAUUUUCUUCUCAGAAUUCCAUAGGUUUAGCCCUUUGGGGGUUUUUACUUUUUUCUUCUUAUUUUUUAUACUGCCUGUUCCUACUUUAUGCUGUGUUUUACCCAUAUUUAUGUCAUUUUAAUCAGUUCCAUAAGACUGUGUUUGAACUCCCCACCUCCACUUGCUUUUGUUUUGGGUGAUGACUGUGCUGUCCACCUCUGCCACUUGUUUCAGGCCCUACUACUUUUUCCCUCCAAUGUUCCUUCUUUUGUGUCUGCCAUCUAUUAUUGCUGAAUACGUUAUUGUCGUUUUUGUCUUCUUAUUUUAUUUUCUCCUCUUCUUCCUUCAGUGGAUGUCUUGAGAUGUUCUUGCUUCUUAUGUUCCAUGUUUGCUGACAUAGGGCAAAACUAAGAAUCUGCGACAAGACAAGCUGCUUUUUCCUCUAUCAAAGCUGCCUUCAUCGGGCAGCUGUCCUUCAUUCUCAAUUACUUUAUCUACUCUUUUUUGCCUUUUUCACAUCCAACCUGUAAUCUAUAUUUUCCUUUCUUCAGCUAUAUCUUAAACUGUUAAAAUAGAGCCUGACAUGUAGUACACAUUCAGUAAAUAUCUGUUGAAUAAAAGAAAACAAUAAAUGAAUGAAUGGUUGUUUGGUAA